Molecule: ribosomal RNA, 253 nt
Filed under: uncultured bacterium
Lineage: Bacteria
Description: partial 16S ribosomal RNA
Rfam family: Bacterial small subunit ribosomal RNA
Source: RNAcentral
UACGUAGGGUGCGAGCGUUAAUCGGAAUUACUGGGCGUAAAGCGUGCGCAGGCGGCUUUGCAAGACAGAUGUGAAAUCCCCGGGCUCAACCUGGGAACUGCAUUUGUGACUGCAAGGCUAGAGUACGGCAGAGGGGGAUGGAAUUCCGCGUGUAGCAGUGAUAUGCGUAGAUAUGCGGAGGAACACCAAUGGCGAAGGCAAUCCCCUGGGCCUGUACUGACGCUCAUGCACGAAAGCGUGGGGAGCAAACAGG